This 1102-nucleotide ribosomal RNA is filed under the name Rosalina sp. 408. Its description in RNAcentral is "bacterial SSU rRNA". It matches the Rfam family "Eukaryotic small subunit ribosomal RNA", at positions 1160 to 1816 of the family's 1831-position model. Lineage: Eukaryota; Foraminifera; Rotaliida; Rosalinidae. The record is from RNAcentral.
AAGGGCACCACAAGAACGCGUGGAGCAUGUGGCUUAAUUUGACUCAACGCGGGAAAUCUUACCGGGUCCGGACACACUGAGGAUUGACAGGCGUUAUUAUAGAUAGUUUACACUCUGUGUGAAUUUAAUCUAUAUGUUAAAUAUGCUAGUCCUUUCAUGAUUAUGUGAUAGGUGGUGCAUGGCCGUUCUUAGUUNGUGGAGUGAUCUGUAUGCUUAAUUGCGUUUCACUAAGGGCCUAUAUUAUUAUAGCAUGUUGCAGGCGCAUUGACCCCUCACCUUAAUCAGGUGUUUGCGCGUGUCUUUGACUUACGUCUUGCCCAUGCGUUUAGGUCCUGAAGCAACGAACGUGACCGCAACCUCUUGUUGCCUUCACUAUACCCAUGACUGUAUUGGCAGCGCUUAACUGCGCUCGUUAAUUGCAGAUCAAUACGAAGGCCUUUUUAAACUAGAGGGACCGCUGUUAUCUUCUUAAACCAGAGGAAGGUUGCGGCAAUAACAGGUCUGUGAUGCCCUUAGAUGUUCCGGGCUGCACACGUGCUACAAUGAUCGUUGCAGUGAGCAUCUCAUUUACUUAUACAUCGCAUGCGCGAGUCCGUUCAUUCUGUCAGUCGUAGUUUCUGCUGCGGCACAGUUUUAAACGUGUAUCUCUGCGCGCGAUAAAGCCUGCUUUGAAAGUUUAGUGGGUAAUCAAUUAGAAGUUACGAUUUCCAAGUUAUAGCACACUUAUGUACGGCAUCUUUACCCAGCUAGCCUUUGUGCUAGUCUUUGUGCGUAAAGAUGGAUUAUGCGGUUUGUUUUAUUACAACCACUAUUUGAUCUACGAUUAUCCAUCGUACCGUACGUGCAAUUGUCAAUUCAUGGUGGGGACAGACCAUUGUUAAUUGUUGGUCUCGGUCUUAACUAGGAAUGCCUUGUACGGUCUUUGGUUCAUCAAACCACCCGGAAUACGUCCCUGCCCUUUGUACACACCGCCCGUCGCUCUCACCGAUGGACUUCUCUGUGAGUUUGGGGACUGGGUCACUUUUUAGACCCAUGGAAACUUAAACGAACAGUGUGGUCUAAAGGAAAGAGAAGUCGUAACAAGGCAUCGGUAGGUGAACCU